This 224-nucleotide ribosomal RNA is filed under the name Clostridioides difficile. RNAcentral's name for it is "partial 23S ribosomal RNA". It matches the Rfam family "Bacterial large subunit ribosomal RNA", at positions 665 to 888 of the family's 2925-position model. Lineage: Bacteria; Bacillati; Bacillota; Clostridia; Peptostreptococcales; Peptostreptococcaceae. The record is from RNAcentral.
GCCGUAGCGAAAGCGAGUUUUAACUGAGCGUUCAGUUACUUGACGUAGACCCGAAACCGGGCGACCUACCCAUGAGCAGGAUGCAGCGAAAGUAAAAUUUCGUGGAGGUCCGAACCCACGAGCGUUGCAAAGCUCGGGGAUUACUUGUGUUUAGCGGUGAAAUUCCAAUCGAGUCCGGAGAUAGCUGGUUCUCCCCGGAAUAGCCUUAGUGCCAGCCUCAAGGU